GCCUGCUUUGUAUUCUGUGUCUCCCUCUCUGCCCCUAACCCAUUUGCACUCUGUCUCUGUCUCUCUCAAAAAUAAUCAUAAAAAAUUAACAUGUUUAAGGUAUCUAUCUCUUAUCUAACAUUAUGUAAAUCUUAUUUAUUGUGUGUUGAGAAUGUAAGAUCCGUGAAGGCAGGGAUUUUGGUCUGUUUCAUUCACUGCUGUAUUCCCAACAAUGCUUAACUUAGAAUACUCCUCUAUUUUUCUUUAGCACCCGUAUAUUGCUAUUGAGAAAUGUGAUGCUAUUCUAAUUGCCAAGUCUUUGUAUUUUCUCUCUGAAAACAUUUAAAAUCUCUCUUCCUUUUUUAAUGUUCUACAAUUUCAAUAUUACAUACAUGCCCUGCUAUGGUCCUUGUUUUGUUCAUUCAAUCUGGAAACUCGUGUUAUUUAGUUCUAGGAAUUUUUCUUGUAUGCCUCUAAUUUUCUCUCCUUUGAUUUCUUCAUUGUCUGAAACUCCUGUUGUUCAUAUGUUGGAUCUCAGAUUCGCUGUCUUAUCUUUCCUCUUUCUCUUUUUGCUCUCCUUUCUGAGAGAAUAUCUCAACUUUAUAUUAUAAUAAUUCUACUGAAUUUAAAAUUUUUACUAUUGUUUUAAUUUCCAAAAGAUCUCUUUUGUUCUAUGAAUAAGCUUUUACAUAGCUUUUCAUUCUUGUUUCUCAGGGAUGCAUUACUUUCUAUUAUUUCUCUGAAGACAGAGAAAGGUUGGGGAAUGGUCACCAUAUUCAAAGAUACAGAUACUCAGGAUAAAACUUUUCACUUGAUCCAUCGGAUUUUAAUAUGCUGGUCACUCUGGCCUCAACUGCAUAUGGUUUCUGAAUUUAGACCCUCUCUGGUCUGUUGUCUUUAGGUAAUAACACUUAUUAUCCUUUUGUCAGGGGUAAGGAGAGGAAGUGAUGUGGCUCUAAAAUGUAGGGAAGAGGCUCUGCAGGUAACUUGUUCCUUUUAAAGACUUUAUACCCAGUCUCCUCUUGAGACUUCUAUUGCAUGUCUACUUUUACAAGUACCAUGUAUCUCCAAUUUCUGAUUCUUUCCAAAGUUCUAUGGCCUGGAUCAGUUUGCAUCUUAAUGUCUUCUGGUACAAACUUAGGUUUUGAGGUUUUUGCUACUAAAAAGGUUAAAAAGUACUCAUAAUUGGUUUUCUAGCUUCCAGAAUUGUUGCCAUCUCUUACCUGUUGUCUUUUCCUUGUUGUUUGUCCUAGUAAUUUAUACAUUAAAAUUCCUAAUUAUUGCUUUACCUAUAAUUUUAUUGGAAUUUUGAGUGUAUGCCAAGAUAAAUGUAUCUGUUUAAUCUGUCACAUUAAAAUCCAUGACCCAUAUUUAUCUGUAGGCAGACUGAGAGAAAGCUUACUGGCCUUUUUGUUAAAAAGCCAAAUGGGCUUUUUUUUUUUCCCUUUAAAAAAGCUUAUUUAUUUUGAGAGAGAGAGAGAGCACUUGUGCACAGGUGUGAGCACAAGCAGAGCAGGGGUGGAGAAGGAGAGAGGGCUCGAUGUCAAGAACCAUGAGGUCAUGACCUGAGUUGACAGGAGUUGGAAGCUUAACUGACUGAGGCACCCAGGUGCCCCCAAAUCAGCUUCUUAAGGACAUUCAGUAGUCUUUUAUAUAAAGAUCAAGGGGGAAAAGAGAGUAGUGUAGUGAAAGAGUG
This is a long non-coding RNA of Herpailurus yagouaroundi (jaguarundi), 1675 nucleotides long. RefSeq lists it as uncharacterized. The record is from RefSeq and is a predicted model, not a curated record. NCBI's taxonomy places the organism in Eukaryota, Metazoa, Chordata, Mammalia, Carnivora, Felidae. The transcript has 3 exons.